GGCGACGUGGCCAAGUGGUAAGGCAGGGCUCUGCAAAAGCCCGAUCAGCGGUUCGAAUCCGCUCGUCGCCUCCU
RNAcentral lists this transfer RNA (74 nucleotides) under Thermogemmatispora tikiterensis. Its description in RNAcentral is "tRNA-Cys". It matches the Rfam family "tRNA". From Rfam's summary of the family: Transfer RNA (tRNA) molecules are approximately 80 nucleotides in length. Their secondary structure includes four short double-helical elements and three loops (D, anti-codon, and T loops). Lineage: Bacteria; Bacillati; Chloroflexota; Ktedonobacteria; Thermogemmatisporales; Thermogemmatisporaceae. The record is from RNAcentral.